This 1203-nucleotide long non-coding RNA is filed under the name Macaca mulatta (Rhesus monkey). Its description in RNAcentral is "lncRNA (ENSMMUG00000052288.1)". Lineage: Eukaryota; Metazoa; Chordata; Mammalia; Primates; Cercopithecidae. The record is from RNAcentral.
CUACUGAGUGUCACCCUGAGGAAAAGGACCCUUGUAGAUAGAUAAACUCCACUUUCCAACUUCAAUCACCUGGCAGAGGCUGGUGGGAGCAGAGAUUGAAGUCAGAGAAAGAUCAAGAAUCUUCAAAACAGCAGAAGUCUUAGGAGAGGACUCUCAGCCAGCAAUGACAGAACCAGACACAGAGGAGAGGGAGAGACAGAACCCCCAGGAGAGCAUGAAGGCAGUGAAGGAAGGAGGGCCUGGCAGGCAGCAGCAUGAAAAUCAGCCCAGCGCACUACUUGCUGCCUCUCCUGCCCGGGCUGAUCCUCAUCACCAGACUGCUAAUAAAACAUCAAAACUAUAUUCAGGAAAAAUAAAGACCUUGGAUACUGGCACCAAGCCUCUGUAUAUUCUACAAAAUCAGAAAGAGAAAACCUGGAAUGAUGGCUUCCACCUGGAGCGACCUCAGAAUCACCUAGGGAUCAUUAAAAGCAGAGAGAUGCUGUUAUAAGAAAAGGGUGAGGUGAAAGGAUUGGAUCUCUCAACAACUUGACAAGAUUGGAGGACUAGCUUGUGGUGGCGUCAUGGAAUUUUUGACAUCUGCUUCUCUUCUCAUGAUUUCUAUUCAUCUCCAGGGUUGUGCUUGUGAAUGUGUUACCUUACAAGACAAAAGGAACUUUAUAGAUGGAAUUAAUUUUGGUAACUGCAAAUUUUAAGAGAGAGAUUUUCCUAGAUUUGCCAAAAAAAUCCAAGUGCAAGAAUAAUUCAGAGAAAUGAAAAGAGAUAAGAAAGAAGAGAUGCUUCAGAGAGGUAAGGCAGGAGUCAGAUUUGAAGUGUGUGAGGGAUUUGACUUGAUGUUGCUAGACUUGAAUGGUUCCAUUCUUGUCUAGGAUUUGGAGAGAUUUCCUGCUGACAGCCAGCAAGAAAACAGAGACCUCAAUCCUACAACUAUAUGGAACUGAAUUCUGACAAGAACUUGAAAUAAGCCUGGAAACAGAUUCUUCUCUCAAGCCUUCAUCAGCCCUACUGAUGUUGAGUUCAGCCCAGUGAAACCCAGAGCAGAGAAUCUCAAGUGAGCUACAUGGUGCCUGGACUUGUUACCCCUAGCACUGUGAGAUGAUACAUUUUUGUUACAUUAAGUCACUCAAUUUGUGGUAAUUGGUUACAGCAAUAAUAGAAAAUUAUGAGGAUCUUACACAUUUCUUUUUAGAAUGUGAAUAUUUC